Phyllostomus discolor (pale spear-nosed bat) is the source of this 4771-nucleotide long non-coding RNA. RefSeq lists it as uncharacterized. The transcript has 3 exons. The record is from RefSeq and is a predicted model, not a curated record. NCBI's taxonomy places the organism in Eukaryota, Metazoa, Chordata, Mammalia, Chiroptera, Phyllostomidae.
GAGCUCACUGAUGUCACUCUCCACAGACUAGCACACAGCCAUACUUGACCUGAAGUCAUCAGCAGCAAGAUGGACAUUGUCAAUCUGCAGAAUGAUGUAGGCACUGUCCACAGAAUUUGCGAAGGUGUGAGCCCUCAGAUCCUCCAUGGUCUUGAAAUAAUGCCCCCAGUCUCUGACCAGGGUCCCUUCUUCUCCAGGUGUUCUUGGACUUUGCACUCCAGGCCCUGAUCAUCAGCCUCGAGGCUCUUCAUCCUCUCCAGGUGCUACAGAAGGGUUGGUGUAGCAAGGACAAUCGAUUCCCUGGGUCAAGGUGGUGGUGUUUAUGUUCUUCCUGGAUAUGCGGCAAUUGCUGACAAUGCUGGGCUGGCACCAAGGAUCCUGCUGAUUCUUUGACUGUUCCUCCCACUGGCUGUACUUGAAUGGCCCAAAAGGCCGUGUGACCCAGUUUGUUGCACAACCGCCAAGCUCCUGGAUCCUGAAGUCCCUGCCACUCUGAACCACGAUGUUCCAAUCAAGUGAUCUUGUUUACCUUGGCAACACAUGUUCUUGGCCACAGAAGCAGAGCAGUAUGGGUUGAUGCAUAAACACAAGAAGUUUAAAAAGGAAAAAAAAAAGGUUUAUACCAGGUCAGAAUUAGCAAGAAGAAUUAACCAAAAGGGGAAAAUGUAAAACCAGCAGGAAGAAUGUCUGCAAUCACAUGAGAGGAACAUGCCAACAAAGAUUUCUGUUUAUACGAGAGAAUUAUUAAUAGAUGACCAAAGACUUUUAAAAUCCAGUGCAACCUUGGCUAGGGCUGUGGCUCAGUUGGUUGGAGUGCUGUCCCAUGCACCAGAAGGUUGCGAGUUCGAUCCCCGGUCAGGGCACAUACCUAGGCUGCGGGUUUCAUCCCUAGUCUGGGUGUGUAUGAUCAAUGUCUCCCUUCCUGUCUCUCUAAAAUCAAUAAACAUAUCCUUAGCUGAGGAUUUAAAAAGAAAUCAAGUACAGAUGUUUAUUUUCCAGUUUUCUAGACAUAAAUACUAAGUGUAGCAUCUGUCAGGAACAGCUUUUUUAGGUACGGGGGAGGUCUUAAAGUUGCAUGAAACUUUUCGCCUUCACUAAUUUGCUUAAACAUGUUUCUUUACUUAGUAUUUUUUCCUCUCCACUGCAAGAGUUUGACCAUUGUUCAUUCGGUGGCGAGUCAAUGAUGGACUAAAGGAGUGUGAAGGGAUGUUCCCUCCUUCGAGGACUUAGAGAUGCUAAGAGAUGGAAAACAUCCUGGUUGGAAAAAGUCCAUGAGAUUCCUGGGCCUGCACCUGUGUGAGGUCCAACUGGUGCUGAUUGCUUCCACCCAAAAUGCAUCGAGGAGUAUGUUCUGAACUAGACAUCUGACACCAUAGGACGGUGACUAUUUUUAACUGCGAUGCUCCCAGGAGAGAGCUCCAGUUUAAUAGUCUCCUUUAUGAAGUUUCAAUCCAGGUUUCAUUGUGAUUUACACCAGUGCCACUCCUAAGAGUCACUCUCUGAGGACAUGAGAGGCUUGGUCCAGAAAGUAAUCAAUAUACUACUUCCUUCAUGAAGAAAGUUGGGCUUUAAAAAAAACCAGUCAGCGGAAGCACAGUGUACUUAGGGAGGUGGUGGACAGAGAGUAUGGCACAAGCUCCUUCUCCUGGUGCAGAAUGUUAGGUAUGCAGCCCGACGUCUGUCCGCAGACUGACGUCUGUCCCCAGGAGGCACUUGGAGAAGCAUCAACAUGCACAUGACUGUCACCCAUGCCACCCUUCCGAUCUCCAAUUAUUAAUCUAUCUUAAUUUUGAACCAAAUACAUGCUGAAGCAAGUACAGACUUACAGAAAAGUUGCAAGAAUAGAACCAAGUAUAUAGAACUGUACAGUUUUCGGCCAUACCCUUUUUAAGUGUCAGCUCGGAUGGGCUUGCUAGCAAAGACUUCAGUUCUGUCCCAUGUUCCAGUCUCUCUAGAAUGAGUUUUGUGCCCUUGACUUUAUAAAGACUACGUUUUGUAGAAUGACCCUCAACUUGAGUUUGUCCUGUGCCUCCUCGUGGCGAGCCCCAGGCUACAGCACGUUCCGCACUUCGAGCGGAACGCCACCAAAGUGAUUUUGUGUUCUCACUGCAACAUAUUGGGUGGCCCCUGAUGUCCCUUUGUCCCAAUAGCAACUUCGAUCACUUGAUUAGGAUAGUGUCUGGCCCAUUUCUCUACUAUAAAGUUACUUUUUUCUUUUGUAAUUAAUAUGUAUCACGGAUUUCCCAUUACUCAUUCCACUUUCACCAGCUGGUUUUAGCGCCCAUUGAUGUUCUUGCCUGAAUUUAUUACGAUGAUGUAUGUUUGCCUGAAGGUAAUUUUCUAAUCGGCUCAUUCCUUACACAUUUAGUAGUUGGCAUUCUAUAGCAAAGAGAAAAUGUCUCAUUUCCCAUUUUUAAAUUCAUUUGUUCGUAAACAAAUGAGUUAUUACUCAUUGUAAUCUAGUACUCAGUGGGUUACAAUCCAUCGUUGUCAUUAAUUAUUUUGAUGCUCAAUUUGACCCAGAUUUUGACAGUAGGAUCCCUGUGAAAGUGGCUUCUGCGAACUUCUGAUGCGUGCCCGCCGUUCUAGGGGCAUUUCCUCCGCAAUGAGCUGUUCCCACGGCUCAUCGUGUGCGUCCCCUGCCCAGCCCUGAGCCGGCCGGCUCCCUAGGAAGCCUUGUCUCCUUUUCAUGGAAAGUGAAAGUUCAAAGCCCAGAUCUGCAUGUUCAGUGUGUGUGCCCUUUGCUCCUGGGAUGUUACCUCCCCCGGGGCUUCUCAGAGCUAGGAAGUGUGUUUGUUUUCACCCCUGCAUAUUCACAUACAUACACAUAUGUAUGGGUGCAUGGAUACUUUUAUAUCUAUCUCCUGUCUCGAUUUCUCUGGGUCCCCUUAUCCUUGGGAUGCCUAUUUGCUCAGCGCCCUGUAGGCAGCCAUCCUCCCAACUGCAUGAGGCUGCCUCUUUGCUCUGCCCUGACCUUAUCCUUGCACAGGCCGUCACUGCUAGCUGUCACCAGCUGCCCCUGCCACCUUGCUCCAGAGUCACCCUUGCUCCGGCCCUCUCACCCCCUCUUGUGCCUUCCCGAUGACUGUCAGCCCGAACCAGGAAGUUGCGAGAGGAUGCCAAACUUUUGUUUCUUAAUUAGAAGAAACAGUAAGCAAAGGCUAAAUCAGGAUUAUCGGCAAUGGUUGCUCCUUUGCUCGCUGAUACACCUUUGGGAUUUAACCAAUAAGACAGCCCACCCACCAGUGUGGUUUGGAUAUUGACACUAAAGGGUCUUCUGUGUCCCCGAGUCUCCCCCAGGACCGUAAUUAUGGCCAGGAGGGUGGGAGGAGGGAGGCACUUGUGCGUCCUGCAGCGCACCUGGGCCAGGCUACACGAGCAGGGACACGGCUGUCAGCGCCGCUUGCACCAUUGUGGACUCAGCAGAAUGCUCUUCAGCUGGUCUAGACAUGCAGCACGCCUAAUGAAAGACGGAGCAAAAACAAACGAUUUUUCAUUGGUUCUCACCAGAAGGCUAUACUCUUCGCUCUCUGUUGAAAUGAGCAUCAGAAAAAGUACAGCGUUUCCACAGUCAGAGAUGACUGUUACCGAAUUAUGAGCUCAUAUUUCCUGUCACUUGGGCAACAAGCAUUUGCCAGCUCUGCCAGGUUGAUGGUAAACUCCUUGAGGGCAAGGGGCAGGGUAGGGGCCUUAGGUAAUCACCCACGGUGACUUGCAAUUAGUGGCUGAUUAGUAGUUGAUUCCCCUGUCCUGCUAGACCAUUAACCCUAACACCCGGUGAGGACUCGUGUCUCUUUCCCCACUGUGUUCUAGUCACCUCCUUUGUUCACGCUUUUGACAGGACUGAAAGCUAUAACCUUCUGAAGUGGUUAAAGGGGCAGCAGCAGAAGUAAAGUCCUUUUCUAUUUUACCUCCUCUCCCUCCAUUCCUCCUGGCCUCUCCCCUUGCCUCUGAUUUAAAACCUGGCAGAAGCUGAUGCAAGAAUGACCUUGAUCUAGGUGGGCAAAUGACCCUACUGCUGAGCUGUGCUACUUCAAGUUCAAGGCUGAGUGGCAAGACCCCCAGCACCAGACCGUAGUCAGGGCCCUCAUUAUGGGCCAGCUACUGGCACAAACUCUCUGUUCAACUUUCAGCAAGUCUCGUAACCUCUCUGGGCCUGGUUGUCCGCAUCUGUGAAGUUGGAGUGUGGACUUCCUGGUCUCUUCAUGGUCUGUGGCUCUACAGUUGUUUCACCUGGGUCUAAUGAAAUGCAGAGCUUCGUGGCCACGUGGCACAAGGAAGGUAGAGUGACAAGGAAAAUUGAGAGUGAAAGUGUAGCCAAUGACAACCCUAGAAAGACCAUGCUCUGGACACUAACAUCCAAAACGCCCUUUCUGUGUGUGUGGAUGUGUGUGUUUGCAAUUACAGGAAGGAAGCACAGCAGAACGCCACUUACAGUCAGUGCUGAAGGUUCCUCUAAGAGUUAGAGGAAAAGACCAUCCCUAGAAUAGCUACAGCAAUUGUGAAAAAGAAGAAUGAAGUAGGAAGUAACACUCUAUCUGCCAAGGUCUGACUGUGUGGCCACUGCAACCCAGACUGCGUGGUAUCGGCAGAGGGAGAGAUGCACACAUCAAUGGGGCAGAAUAGGGAACCCAAAAUCAAACCACGCAAACAUGCCGGCUGCACUUUGCCAAAGAUGUGAAAGCAAUUCGAUGGAGGGAGGUCAGACUCCGCAGCAAAUGGCGCUGCAACAGUGGGUACCCACAAGGGAAGAGGAAGGAAACUUGACCUA